This 460-nucleotide ribosomal RNA is filed under the name uncultured bacterium. RNAcentral's name for it is "partial 16S ribosomal RNA". It matches the Rfam family "Bacterial small subunit ribosomal RNA", at positions 338 to 795 of the family's 1533-position model. The record is from RNAcentral.
CCUACGGGGGGCAGCAGUGAGGAAUAUUGGUCAAUGGACGAGAGUCUGAACCAGCCAAGUAGCGUGAAGGAUGACUGCCCUAUGGGUUGUAAACUUCUUUUAUAUGGGAAUAAAACGUUCCACGUGUGGGAUUUUGUAUGUACCAUAUGAAUAAGGAUCGGCUAACUCCGUGCCAGCAGCCGCGGUAAUACGGAGGAUCCGAGCGUUAUCCGGAUUUAUUGGGUUUAAAGGGAGCGUAGGUGGAUUGUUAAGUCAGUUGUGAAAGUUUGCGGCUCAACCGUAAAAUUGCAGUUGAAACUGGCAGUCUUGAGUACAGUAGAGGUGGGCGGAAUUCGUGGUGUAGCGGUGAAAUGCUUAGAUAUCACGAAGAACUCCGAUUGCGAAGGCAGUUCACUGGACUGCAACUGACACUGGGGCUCGAAAGUGUGGGUAUCAAACAGGAUUAGAUACCCUUGUAGUC